UAGCAUGAAGUCAGACGA
RNAcentral lists this ribosomal RNA (18 nucleotides) under Cladocopium sp. clade C. RNAcentral describes it as "partial 28S ribosomal RNA". Lineage: Eukaryota; Dinophyceae; Suessiales; Symbiodiniaceae. The record is from RNAcentral.